Molecule: small nuclear RNA, 62 nt
Organism: Tupaia belangeri (northern tree shrew)
Lineage: Eukaryota; Metazoa; Chordata; Mammalia; Scandentia; Tupaiidae
Gene: U7
Rfam family: U7 small nuclear RNA
About the family: Animal histone pre-mRNAs are spliced by a different mechanism than nuclear pre-mRNAs and self-splicing introns. This processing involves the U7 snRNP, which contains only one RNA species: U7.
Source: Ensembl
UAGUGUUACAGCUCUUUUAGAAUUUGUCUAACCAGUGUUUCAGUUUUUACCAGAAAGCCUUC